GGGAAUAUUAGAAAUGGACGAAAGUCUGAUCUAGCAACACCGCGUGUGCGAAGAAGGCCUUCGGGUUGUAAAGCACUUUUUGGAAGGAUUAGGAAGGAAUGUACUUCCAGAAUAAGUCUCGGCUAACUACGUGCCAGCAGCCGCGGUAACACGUAGGAGGCAAACGUUAUCCGGAUUUACUGGGCGUAAAGCGCGUGUAGGUGGUUCUGUAAGUAGGGCGUGAAAGCUCCUGGCUCAACUGGGAGAGGCCGUUCUAAACUGCAGAGCUAGAGGAUGGUAGAGGGAGGUGGAACUCCGGGUGUAGCGGUGGAAUGCGCAGAUAUCCGGAGGAACACCAGUGGCGAAAGCGGCCUCCUGGACCAUUCCUGACACUCAGACGCGAAAGCGAGGGUAGCAAACGG
RNAcentral lists this ribosomal RNA (401 nucleotides) under uncultured bacterium. RNAcentral describes it as "bacterial SSU rRNA". It matches the Rfam family "Bacterial small subunit ribosomal RNA", at positions 357 to 775 of the family's 1533-position model. The record is from RNAcentral.